Molecule: unclassified non-coding RNA, 334 nt
Filed under: soil metagenome
Description: partial contains 5.8S ribosomal RNA, internal transcribed spacer 2, and large subunit ribosomal RNA
Rfam family: 5.8S ribosomal RNA (bases 1-120)
Source: RNAcentral
GAUGAAGAACGUAGCGAAAUGCGAUAAGUAAUGUGAAUUGCAGAAUUCAGUGAAUCAUCGAAUCUUUGAACGCACAUUGCGCCCGCCAGUAUUCUGGCGGGCAUGCCUGUUCGAGCGUCAUUUCAACCAUCAAGCCCCCGGCUUGUGUUGGGGACCUGCGGCUGCCGCAGGCCCUGAAAUGCAGUGGCGGGCUCGCUGUCACUCCGAGCGUAGUAGUUACAUCUCGCUCUGGGCGUGCUGCGGGUUCCGGCCGUUAAAAGCCUUAUUUACCCAAGGUUGACCUCGGAUCAGGUAGGAAGACCCGCUGAACUUAAGCAUAUCAAUAAGCGGAGGA